UAGAGUUUGAUCCUGGCUCAGAACGUACGCUGGCGGCACGCCUAACACAUGCAAGUCGAACGAAGUAGCAAUACUUAGUGGCAGACGGGUGAGUAACAUGUAGGUAUCUACCCUUUGGCCUGGAAUAACACGAGGAAACUUGUGCUAAUACCGGAUAAGUCUUUACGGAGAAAGCUUUAUGCACCAUUGGAGGAGCCUGCACUUGAUUAGUUUGUUGGUGGGGUAAUGGCCUACCAAGACUUUGAUCAAUAGCUGAUUUGAGAGGAUGAUCAGCCACAUUGGGACUGAGACACGGCCCAAACUCCUACGGGAGGCAGCAGUGGGGAAUCUUGCACAAUGGAGGAAACUCUGAUGCAGCGAUGCCGCGUGAGUGAAGAAGGCCCUUGGGUUGUAAAGCUCUUUCGUCGGGGAAGAAAAUGACUGUACCCGAAUAAGAAGGUCCGGCUAACUUCGUGCCAGCAGCCGCGGUAAUACGAAGGGACCUAGCGUAGUUCGGAAUUACUGGGCUUAAAGAGUUCGUAGGUGGUUGAAAAAGUUGGUGGUGAAAUCCCAGAGCUUAACUCUGGAACUGCCAUCAAAACUUUUCAGCUAGAGUUUGAUAGAGGAAAGCAGAAUUUCUAGUGUAGAGGUGAAAUUCGUAGAUAUUAGAAAGAAUACCAAUUGCGAAGGCAGCUUUCUGGAUCAUUACUGACACUGAGGAACGAAAGCAUGGGUAGCGAAGAGGAUUAGAUACCCUCGUAGUCCAUGCCGUAAACGAUGUGUGUUAGACGUUGGAAAUUUAUUUUCAGUGUCGCAGCGAAAGCGAUAAACACACCGCCUGGGGAGUACGACCGCAAGGUUAAAACUCAAAUGAAUUGACGGGGACCCGCACAAGUAGUGGAGCAUGUGGUUUAAUUCGAAGAUACGCGCAGAACCUUACCGGCUCUUGACAUACCAAUCGCGAAUCUAAGAGAUUAGAUUCUUCACUUCGGGUGGAUUGGAUACAGGUGCUGCAUGGCUGUCGUCAGCUCGUGUCGUGAGAUGUUGGGUUAAGUCCCGCAACGAGCGCAACCCUCACUUUUAGUUGCCAUCAUUAAGUUGGGCACUCUGAAAGAACUGCCAGUGAUAAGCUGGAGGAAGGUGGGGAUGACGUCAAGUCCUCAUGGCCCUUACGUGUUGAGCUACACACGUGCUACAAUGGUAUCUACAACAGGAAGCAAGACGGCGACGUUUAGCAAAUCCUUAAAAGAUACCUCAGUUCGGAUUGCACUCUGCAACUCGAGUGCAUGAAGCUGGAAUUACUAGUAAUCGUGGAUCAGCGUGCCACGGUGAAUGCGUUCCCGGGUCUUGUACACACCGCCCGUCACACCAUGGGAGUUGGUUCUACCUUAAGGCAAGGUUUAAAACCCUUGACCACGGUAUAGUCAGCGACUGGGGUGAAGUCGUAACAAGGUAACCA
This 1438-nucleotide ribosomal RNA is filed under the name uncultured bacterium. RNAcentral's name for it is "bacterial SSU rRNA". It matches the Rfam family "Bacterial small subunit ribosomal RNA". The record is from RNAcentral.